This 515-nucleotide ribosomal RNA is filed under the name uncultured bacterium. RNAcentral describes it as "partial 16S ribosomal RNA". It matches the Rfam family "Bacterial small subunit ribosomal RNA", at positions 28 to 523 of the family's 1533-position model. The record is from RNAcentral.
GAUGAACGCUGGCGGCGUGCCUAAUACAUGCAAGUCGAGCGAAUGGAUUAAGAGCUUGCUCUUAUGAAGUUAGCGGCGGACGGGUGAGUAACACGUGGGUAACCUGCCCAUAAGACUGGGAUAACUCCGGGAAGCCGGGGCUAAUACCGGAUAACAUUUUGAACCGCAUGGUUCGAAAUGGAAAGGCGGCUUCGGCUGUCACUUAUGGAUGGACCCGCGUCGCAUUAGCUAGUUGGUGAGGUAACGGCUCACCAAGGCAACGAUGCGUAGCCGACCUGAGAGGGUGAUCGGCCACACUGGGACUGAGACACGGCCCAGACUCCUACGGGAGGCAGCAGUAGGGAAUCUUCCGCAAUGGACGAAAGUCUAACGGAGCAACGCCGCGUGAGUGAUGAAGGCUUUCGGGUCGUAAAACUCUGUUGUUAGGGAAGAACAAGUGCUAGUUGAAUAAGCUGGCACCUUGACGGUACCUAACCAGAAAGCCACGGCUAACUACGUGCCAGCCGCCGCAGUAA